This 254-nucleotide ribosomal RNA is filed under the name uncultured bacterium. Its description in RNAcentral is "partial 16S ribosomal RNA". It matches the Rfam family "Bacterial small subunit ribosomal RNA", at positions 524 to 776 of the family's 1533-position model. The record is from RNAcentral.
CACGUAGGGGGCAAGCGUUGUCCGGAUUUAUUGGGCGUAAAGAGCUCGUAGGCGGUUUCGUAAGUCGGGUGUGAAAACUCUAGGCUCAACCUAGAGACGCCACCCGAUACUGCGAUGACUAGAGUCCGGUAGGGGAGUGUGGAAUUCCUGGUGUAGCGGUGAAAUGCGCAGAUAUCAGGAGGAACACCAACGGCGAAGGCAGCACUCUGGGCUGGAACUGACGCUGAGGAGCGAAAGCGUGGGUAGCGAACAGG